GUCUGUGGCCAUACCACCCUGAACAUGCCUAAUCUCAGAAGCUAAACAGGGUCAGGCCUGGCUAGCACUUGGAUGGGAGAAUGUAUAUUCUUGCAGUUUGGGGUAGAAAGUUCUGUAAAUG
Prolemur simus (greater bamboo lemur) is the source of this 121-nucleotide ribosomal RNA. The record is from Ensembl. NCBI's taxonomy places the organism in Eukaryota, Metazoa, Chordata, Mammalia, Primates, Lemuridae.